This 108-nucleotide non-coding RNA is filed under the name Thermotalea metallivorans. RNAcentral's name for it is "Glycine sequence". It matches the Rfam family "Glycine riboswitch aptamer". Rfam says of the family: This family represents the bacterial glycine riboswitch. Glycine riboswitches usually consist of two metabolite-binding aptamers domains with similar structures in tandem. Lineage: Bacteria; Bacillati; Bacillota; Clostridia; Peptostreptococcales; Thermotaleaceae. The record is from Rfam by way of RNAcentral.
CUGAUAAAUGCGGGAGAGAGCCCAGGUUACGGGCCGCCGAAGGAACAAACCGAAAAAGUUUGCCAAUUUUGAGGUGAAAUUCUCAGGCAAAAGGACCGCAUUUUGACA